AGGCAUAUGGAGGUUCCCAGGCUAGGGUCAAAUCAGAGCUGUAUCCGCCGGCCUACACCACAGCCACAGCCACAGCAAUGCCAGAUCCGAGCCGUGUCUGCGACCUACACCACAGCUCAUGGCAACGCUGGAUCCUUAACCCACCGAGUGAGACCAAGGAUCGGACCUGCAUCCUCAUGGAUGAUAAUCAGAUUCACUGUGCACAGGGGGAAUGCCCAUAUACCUUUUUUUGGGGGGAGGGGCACACCCACGGCAUGUGGAAGUUCCCAGGCUGGGGAUCGAACCCGUGUUUCAGCAGCAACCCGAGCUGCUGCAGAGACACCACCAGAUCCUUAACCUGAUGCACCACAGUGAGAACUCCCCCAUCACAUAUCUUUUAAGAGAACUGCGGGGGUUUUACUGGGGGAAAGUAGAGAAAGGCGGGACUAAGUUAGAAGGUUCAAGUGUAUCUGACGCUGCCUAGCCUCGCCUCUUCAUUCUGGCAACUAAGUGAAAUCCUCUAACUCAAGCACAUCGAAUGCAGUCUGCGGGUCUGCAUUUUCAUGCUUGCUUUUCACUUGACUGUAUCAAACUUGGAUACUUCUGCCUAAGCCGCCGGAGCUCUGUUCCUAAGACGUGUUCAAACAAGCUCAGCUCGGCUUUCACGCCAUCUGCCCAGAAUUCCGUGGCCAACGUACGUGGCGUGUAUGCUUUCCUGCACCUGUGGAAAUGCUUCAUUUCAGCUCGGCCCUCAAAGGCCCUUCGUUUCUCAAGUCCACGGCCACCCGGCAGGGCCACAGGUAGGUUUGGGAUGGCAAGGGGCCUGGGGAUGGCGGGGAAGGUUUUUCCCUGCCUGGACAGAGAGCGGCUCGCAGGCCAGUGGCUCCCCCUUUCAUCAUCCCUCACCCUGGGAUUCCAUAAAACUGCUGGGCAUCCCAAGCAAGCCCACCUGCAGCAAAUUCACUUCAACAGCAUCGAUGACGACAUGUAAAUGGCCUCGUCCCCUCUCACCCAAUCCAAGCGGGAAGCGGGAAGUGGGGAUCGUUGCUUAUAACCAAGGGCCCAGUUCUUGAAUGGACAUGCAUUCGUCCACUCGACUCUGUGCCCCAGUAGAGAGAGGCAGACCCUUCCUUCCUCGGAAGUAACUCUGGAUCCACAUCAAGUAAACAUCUUAAUGACACGCCUCUUGCGUAUUUCUUCACUUGUCCUGAGGGAUUCGCCCAGCGCCUCCCGCGGGGACUGCGGGACUUGCAUACACUCCCCUCUUGGGUAAGGCAGGGUGAGUCUGUCUGGCCUGAGCCCUGUGUGGCCUCGGGCGCAGAAGGCAGGAAGCUGUAUUUUGCCUGGACCAGUUCCCUGGCCGUGCUGGAGUUCUUGUAGGCACGAGUGUCCCGUUUACAGCUUUCUGUUUAGUAAUUGGUCACAGCUCUUGGCUAAGCAGAUUCCAGGGCCAGAUCUCAAGGAUCAGGGCUGCCUGGGAGCCUGGCUCAGCAGCUGCAGGCUGCAGAGGGAACUCGUGCACCCAGAGCAGCCUAGACGCAUGAUAAGACUUGUCUGUGCAUCACCCCGGCCCAGGAGCCUCUAAUUACAUGUCUGGGACUUGCAGGAGCCCAGGUGGCCCAGCUCACAUGAUGCCAGAGCUGUGAAGAUAGCACGGGCACGGUUCUCACUGCCCUCGCAGCCUGGCCGGGUGGGGAGGCUCCUCUGCGUCCUGUGCGUCAUUUCAAUACAAAUUCUAAGAACCACAUUCCAAAGACAACAAGAGUCCCUUUAAGCAGGUGGCUCUGCUCCAAGCAUCGCCUCAGUUUUAUCCUCCCAUCAAGGUUCCCAGCUCGACCUGCCUCCUGACUUGGGACAGCAAAACACUGCUGGGCAUCGCCACAGAGUCAAUGCAAAAAGGCACAAGAUCGGGUCCCCAGGCAGCCGUAUUUUCCCCCACACGUAGCUUUGGCCUGCAAGGUGGCUCCUGCAAUGGCACUUUGGUUGACUGACCCAUUUCAUGGAAUUCUUUGACCAUGCUAACAGCUAUCAGAGAUUUCCCAUGUGCCAGGUGCUACACUGGACACGAUGAGAUCUCGUGCGAAGCCGUCCAAAUCGGCCCUAGAACUGAGCCACCCGUUCAAAAGAAAAGACACUUGUCCAGGAUUAGGAGAGAAGGUCCCUGUCACUGAGACCAAAAUCUGGCCUGGCACAUGCUGGCUGGCGGCUUAUUGAGGAAAGCUGCUGUGGGAGUGGGUAAGCCAGCAGGUGUCUUUCCUGUGGUUAAUCAGCUGUGUGGGAGGAUUUUCAGGACAACAGCCAGAAAUCUGUUGUUGUUUUUGUUUUCGAAGCUACAGGUUGGGUUUUUUUCCUCCAAGCUUAGUGGAUGCUGAAUCAGCUCAACUGUUCGUUUUGCAAGAAUCCACACACUUGAAUUGUAAUAAACUGACUGCCACUCAGCUGGUCAUUGGCAAGGAUCUCAUGAAAAAAUUGCUUUACCAACUGAAAUCCUUAUUUAUUUCUUACUUAUUUGAUUAUGAGGUCUGCACCUGUGGCACAUGGACGUUCCCAGGCUAGCAGCUGAAUCAGAGCUGCAGCUGCUGGCCUACACCACAGCCACAGCAACACCAGCUCCGUAACGCACUGAGCGAGGCCAAGGAUCAAAUCCACAUCCUCAUGGAUACUAGUCGGGUUGGUUACCACUGAGCCACAACAGGAACUCCUGAAAUCCUCAUUUUAAAUGUUUUCCUGGAGUUCCCGUCGUGGCGCAGUGGUUAACGAAUCCCACUAGGAACCAUGAGGUUUCAGGUUCGGUCCCUGCCCUUGCUCAGCGGGUUAACGAUCCGGCGUUGCCGUGAGCUGUGGUGUAGGUUGCAGACGCGGCUCGGAUCCAGCGUUGCUGUGGCUCUGGCGUAGGCCGGUGGCUACAGCUCCGAUUCAACCCCUAGCCUGGGAACCUCCAUAUGCUGUGGGUGCAGCCCUAAAAUAAAUAAAUAAAUAAA
RNAcentral lists this long non-coding RNA (2960 nucleotides) under Sus scrofa (pig). RNAcentral describes it as "lncRNA (ENSSSCG00065066907.1)". Lineage: Eukaryota; Metazoa; Chordata; Mammalia; Artiodactyla; Suidae. The record is from RNAcentral.